This 463-nucleotide ribosomal RNA is filed under the name uncultured archaeon. RNAcentral's name for it is "bacterial SSU rRNA". It matches the Rfam family "Archaeal small subunit ribosomal RNA", at positions 24 to 458 of the family's 1478-position model. The record is from RNAcentral.
CCCGACUGCUAUCGGAUUGGGAUUUAGCCAUGUUAGUUGAGCGUUCUUUGGCUACAAGGGACGCAGCGCACGGCUCAGUAACACGUAGUCAACCUGCCCUGGAGACGUGGAUAAACCCGGGAAACUGGGGCUAAUCCACGAUAGAUGACCUCAUCUGGAAGGAGAGAUCGUCCAAAAGGCGGCGCGAGUAUGCUUCGCGUCUUCCGCUCCAGGAUGGGACUGCGGCCGAUCAGGCUGUUGGCGGGGUAAUGGCCCACCAAACCUGUAACCGGUACGGGCUUUGAGAGAAGGAGCCCGGAGAUGGACACUGAGACAAGGGUCCAGGCCCUACGGGGCGCAUCAGGCGCGAAAACUUCGCAAUGCGCGAAAGCGUGACGAGGCUAGUCCGAGUGCCUUCCGCUGAGGGGGGCUUUUCNUCGGCUGUAAAUAUGUCCGGGGAAUAAGGGGAGGGCAAGUCUGGUGU